CCUACGGUGUGCAGCAGUGAGGAAUAUUGGUCAAUGGGCGCGAGCCUGAACCAGCCAAGUAGCGUGAAGGAUGACUGCCCUACGGGUUGUAAACUUCUUUUAUAAAGGAAUAAAGUGAGGCACGUGAGCCUUUUUGUAUGUACUUUAUGAAUAAGGAUCGGUUAACUCCGUGCCAGUAGCCGCGGUAAUACGGAGGAUCCGAGCGUUAUCCGGAUUUAUUGGGUUUAAAGGGAGCGUAGAUGGGUUGUUAAGUCAGUUGUGAAAGUUUGCGGCUCAACCGUAAAAUUGCAAUUGAUACUGGCAGCCUUGAGUACAGUAGAGGUAGGCGGAAUUCGUGGUGUAGCGGUGAAAUGCUUAGAUAUCACGAAGAACUCCGAUUGCGAAGGCAGCCUACUAAACUGCCACUGACAUUGAUGCUCGAAAGUGUGGGUAUCAAACAGGAUUAGAUACCCCAGUAGUC
RNAcentral lists this ribosomal RNA (460 nucleotides) under uncultured bacterium. Its description in RNAcentral is "partial 16S ribosomal RNA". It matches the Rfam family "Bacterial small subunit ribosomal RNA", at positions 338 to 795 of the family's 1533-position model. The record is from RNAcentral.